AUUAAAUAUCUUACAGAAAACAAAGGAACUCGUAACGUCUUAUUUAUAAUCAUUAAGAGAAACCUGAAGGCCAAUUACUCACUGAGUGGCAAGCAACUCAAUUACAUUAUUGUAUACGACUUUGGUAUGAUAAAAGAAUCCUCAGAACUGUAUUAAAAAAUUGUGAGAAGGAGUUUACACAGGUCAGUCUAUAAAACUACUGCAUAAUUUCUGUCUGUAAAUUAAAAUAGAAAAGAAAUAAGAUUGAAUUAAAUAUGAUAAUAGUAAAUUUCAUGUCAAAGUGUGCUAAACUAGCUGGCCUUUCCUAUUCUUGAAUAAAAUUAUUCUGGUUGCCAUAAUACAUCCCAAAGCUUACCUAGAUGAGGAGAAAUUCAAAGUAUUCCAACGUCUGCCCUCAUGAAUAGAUCAAGCCUUGGGGGAAACCAGUGAUCUCUUGGCAACAGGACCAGAAG
RNAcentral lists this long non-coding RNA (452 nucleotides) under Pongo abelii (Sumatran orangutan). RNAcentral's name for it is "lincRNA". The record is from RNAcentral. Lineage: Eukaryota; Metazoa; Chordata; Mammalia; Primates; Hominidae.